AACGAACGCUGGCGGCAUGCCUAGCACAUGCAAGUCGAACGAGACCUUCGGGUCUAGUGGCGCACGGGUGCGUAACGCGUGGGAACCUGCCCUUAGGUUCGGAAUAACUCCCCGAAAGGGGUGCUAAUACCGGAUAAUGUCUUCGGACCAAAGAUUUAUCGCCUUUGGAUGGGCCCGCGUUGGAUUAGCUAGCUGGUAGGGUAAAAGCCUACCAAGGCGACGAUCCAUAGCUGGUCUGAGAGGAUGAUCAGCCACACUGGGACUGAGACACGGCCCAGACUCCUACGGGAGGCAGCAGUGGGGAAUAUUGGACAAUGGGCGAAAGCCUGAUCCAGCAAUGCCGCGUGAGUGAUGAAGGCCUUAGGGUUGUAAAGCUCUUUUACCCGGGAUGAUAAUGACAGUACCGGGAGAAUAAGCUCCGGCUAACUCCGUG
RNAcentral lists this ribosomal RNA (433 nucleotides) under uncultured bacterium. RNAcentral describes it as "partial 16S ribosomal RNA". It matches the Rfam family "Bacterial small subunit ribosomal RNA", at positions 29 to 507 of the family's 1533-position model. The record is from RNAcentral.